CCUCUUUAUAAACAGCUUCUUCCUCCCAUUGUCAUAUCACGGUUCUUCUGGUUCAGAGCAGAUAUUAGCGAUUUAAAGUCCCUCAGGACUGUGAUAAAUUGAUGUAUUGAUCCAAAUUUGCUGAUGGUUUUACCGUCGGUUUUCUACCAUGGUUUUUUUGUGUGUGCUAAACUGAUGUUUUGGCGAGCAUAGUGAUGAUUGUUUAAUUGUCCGAUUAAUUCAUGAAUGGAAUAGCAAACCUCCUACUCAUUCUGAAUGUUCGCCUUUCUCUGCUUAAUCUGUUCAUUGUGUUUCAUUUUGAAUUUUGUUAAAUCGUCUCUUUUGAACGAAAAAUCAUGUGCCAAAAGUUACAAAUUUCAUAUUGUUUUUUGUCGAUUUGAAUUUAAUAAGCUUCAAUUUUGAAUUAUUAACUUAUGUAUGGAAGUUAUGCUUCAUCAUUGUUUCUAUUUCAUAUGUCUGAACGAUGAUGACGAUCUUGUUUUGAGGACGAAAAGUCAUUGAUUCUUGUAGUUUGAAGAAGUCCUCUACAUCGAUUGCUAUAAUUAUUUUCUCAGAUCAAUAUACGUUUUGGAAAUACGUUUUCUUAUGUUUUUCAAAAUUCUUAUUACAAUUUGAUAAAAUAAUUGAUUUGAUUGAGAUUGAUUAUUACACAAAAAAUAUGUUUCAUAUAUUGUCAAUUUCAAAUCUCUGCACGAUGAUGAUGAUGUUGUGCUGAGAUCGAAAGGUCUAUGAUUUUUCUUCUAUCAAGAAGUCCUUUUCAUCCUGAGUGCUAUUAAUUGUAACAUUGUUUUUGAACCAUCUCAUUCCUGUAAAAAUGUAUGAUUCAGUUCAAAUUAACGUCUUUGUAAUCAUAAUUUUUUUGCUUAAUGGGUCUGAAGUUUGACUCCUUGGCUUAACUUCAAUGCCAUGGUGUUGAAUCCAGCACCCGAUAUUAAAUUUCUCCCUUUGUGUUAUUGAUUCUGUUAGAUUGUACUUGUAAUUUAUCUAGACAUCAUGGAGGGUUAUAUAAUUUCUACAUUUCGAUUCUGUUCACAAAGAGGUUUUGUAUUAAUUGUUGAUUUGUUUAAAAGAUUGAGAUGAUGGAAAUGAUGAUUAUUUCCCCAGAUGAUCGAAUCUGAAAUUACUGAGCGCUCAAUUUUUUUUCUCUUUUUGGAGAAAAAUCCAAGCCAGAAAUCUGAUCCAUCUCUCAGUUUCAAGCAUUUUUCAUUUAAGGAAUUUCAUUUUAUUGAAUGUAGCUUUUUAAUUUUGAUUAUAUUUAUUGAUAUUUAAUGGAAGUUGGAAGUGAUGAUUAUUUCCCC
Long non-coding RNA from Cynara cardunculus var. scolymus (artichoke), 1298 nucleotides. RefSeq lists it as uncharacterized. NCBI's taxonomy places the organism in Eukaryota, Viridiplantae, Streptophyta, Magnoliopsida, Asterales, Asteraceae. The record is from RefSeq and is a predicted model, not a curated record. The transcript has 2 exons.